RNAcentral lists this ribosomal RNA (232 nucleotides) under uncultured bacterium. RNAcentral's name for it is "partial 16S ribosomal RNA". It matches the Rfam family "Bacterial small subunit ribosomal RNA", at positions 333 to 579 of the family's 1533-position model. The record is from RNAcentral.
GGUAUCCUACGGGAGGCAGCAGUGGGGAAUAUUGCGCAAUGGGGGGAACCCUGACGCAGCAACGCCGCGUGCAGGAAGAAGGUCUUCGGACUGUAAACUGUUGUCGCAGGGGAAGAAGACAGUGACGGUACCCUGUGAGAAAGUCACGGCUAACUACGUGCCAGCAGCCGCGGUAAUACGUAGGUGACAAGCGUUGUCCGGAUUUACUGGGUGUAAAGGGCGCGUAGGCGGA